UAGGGAAUCUUCGGCAAUGGGGGGAACCCUGACCGAGCAACGCCGCGUGAGUGAAGAAGGUUUUCGGAUCGUAAAGCUCUGUUGUUAAGGAAGAACGAGUGUGAGAAUGGAAAGUUCAUGCUGUGACGGUACUUAACCAGAAAGGGACGGCUAACUACGUGCCAGCAGCCGCGGUAAUACGUAGGUCCCGAGCGUUGUCCGGAUUUAUUGGGCGUAAAGCGAGCGCAGGCGGUUAGAAAAGUCUGAAGUGAAAGGCAGUGGCUCAACCAUUGUAGGCUUUGGAAACUGUUUAACUUGAGUGCAGAAGGGGAGAGUGGAAUUCCAUGUGCAGCGGUGAAAUGCGUAGAUAUAUGGAGGAACACCGGUGGCGAAAGCGGCUCUCUGGUCUGUAACUGACGCUGAGGCUCGAAAGCGUGGGGAGCGAACAGG
This 429-nucleotide ribosomal RNA is filed under the name Bacteroidota bacterium. RNAcentral's name for it is "Bacteroidetes bacterium partial 16S ribosomal RNA". It matches the Rfam family "Bacterial small subunit ribosomal RNA", at positions 355 to 776 of the family's 1533-position model. Lineage: Bacteria; Pseudomonadati; Bacteroidota. The record is from RNAcentral.